GGGUUGUGAGGUUAAGCGACUAAGCGUACACGGUGGAUGCCCUGGCAGUCAGAGGCGAUGAAGGGCGUGCUAAUCUGCGAUAAGCGCCGGUAAGGUGAUAUGAACCGUUAUAACCGGCGAUACCCGAAUGGGGAAACCCAGUGUGACUCGUCACACUAUCAUUAACUGAAUCCAUAGGUUAAUGAGGCGAACCGGGGGAACUGAAACAUCUAAGUACCCCGAGGAAAAGAAAUCAACCGAGAUUCCCCCAGUAGCGGCGAGCGAACGGGGAGGAGCCCAGAGCCUGAAUCAGCAUGUGUGUUAGUGGAAGCGUCUGGAAAGGCGCGCGAUACAGGGUGACAGCCCCGUACACAAAAGCGCAUGUGCUGUGAGCUCGAUGAGUAGGGCGGGACACGUGGUAUCCUGUCUGAAUAUGGGGGGACCAUCCUCCAAGGCUAAAUACUCCUGACUGACCGAUAGUGAACCAGUACCGUGAGGGAAAGGCGAAAAGAACCCCGGCGAGGGGAGUGAAAAAGAACCUGAAACCGUGUACGUACAAGCAGUGGGAGCNNNNNNNNNNNNNNGGGCGUUAAGUUGCAGGGUAUAGACCCGAAACCCGGUGAUCUAGCCAUGGGCAGGUUGAAGGUUGGGUAACACUAACUGGAGGACCGAACCGACUAAUGUUGAAAAAUUAGCGGAUGACCUGUGGCUGGGGGUGAAAGGCCAAUCAAACCGGGAGAUAGCUGGUUCUCCCCGAAAGCUAUUUAGGUAGCGCCUCGUGAAUUCAUCUCCGGGGGUAGAGCACUGUUUCGGCUAGGGGGCCAUCCCGGCUUACCAACCCGAUGCAAACUGCGAAUACCGGAGAAUGUUAUCACGGGAGACACACGGCGGGUGCUAACGUCCGUCGUGAAGAGGGAAACAACCCAGACCGCCAGCUAAGGUCCCAAAGUCAUGGUUAAGUGGGAAACGAUGUGGGAAGGCCCAGACAGCCAGGAUGUUGGCUUAGAAGCAGCCAUCAUUUAAAGAAAGCGUAAUAGCUCACUGGUCGAGUCGGCCUGCGCGGAAGAUGUAACGGGGCUAAACCAUGCACCGAAGCUGCGGCAGCGANNUGCUGGAGGUAUCAGAAGUGCGAAUGCUGACAUAAGUAACGAUAAAGCGGGUGAAAAGCCCGCUCGCCGGAAGACCAAGGGUUCCUGUCCAACGUUAAUCGGGGCAGGGUGAGUCGACCCCUAAGGCGAGGCCGAAAGGCGUAGUCGAUGGGAAACGGGUUAAUAUUCCCGUACUUGGUGUUACUGCGAAGGGGGGACGGAGAAGGCUAUGUUGGCCGGGCGACGGUUGUCCCGGUUUAAGCGUGUAGGUGUGUGUUCCAGGUAAAUCCGGUUCACUUUAACACUGAGGCGUGACGACGAGGCACUACGGUGCUGAAGCAACAAAUGCCCUGCUUCCAGGAAAAGCCUCUAAGCAUCAGGUAACAUCAAAUCGUACCCCAAACCGACACAGGUGGUCAGGUAGAGAAUACCAAGGCGCUUGAGAGAACUCGGGUGAAGGAACUAGGCAAAAUGGUGCCGUAACUUCGGGAGAAGGCACGCUGACACGUAGGUGAAGUGAUUUACUCAUGGAGCUGAAGUCAGUCGAAGAUACCAGCUGGCUGCAACUGUUUAUUAAAAACACAGCACUGUGCAAACACGAAAGUGGACGUAUACGGUGUGACGCCUGCCCGGUGCCGGAAGGUUAAUUGAUGGGGUCAGCGCAAGCGAAGCUCCUGAUCGAAGCCCCGGUAAACGGCGGCCGUAACUAUAACGGUCCUAAGGUAGCGAAAUUCCUUGUCGGGUAAGUUCCGACCUGCACGAAUGGCGUAAUGAUGGCCAGGCUGUCUCCACCCGAGACUCAGUGAAAUUGAACUCGCUGUGAAGAUGCAGUGUACCCGCGGCAAGACGGAAAGACCCCGUGAACCUUUACUAUAGCUUGACACUGAACAUUGAGCCUUGAUGUGUAGGAUAGGUGGGAGGCUUUGAAGUGUGGACGCCAGUCUGCAUGGAGCCGACCUUGAAAUACCACCCUUUAAUGUUUGAUGUUCUAACGUGGACCCGUUACCCGGGUUGCGGACAGUGUCUGGUGGGUAGUUUGACUGGGGCGGUCUCCUCCUAAAGAGUAACGGAGGAGCACGAAGGUUGGCUAAUCCUGGUCGGACAUCAGGAGGUUAGUGCAAUGGCAUAAGCCAGCUUGACUGCGAGCGUGACGGCGCGAGCAGGUGCGAAAGCAGGUCAUAGUGAUCCGGUGGUUCUGAAUGGAAGGGCCAUCGCUCAACGGAUAAAAGGUACUCCGGGGAUAACAGGCUGAUACCGCCCAAGAGUUCAUAUCGACGGCGGUGUUUGGCACCUCGAUGUCGGCUCAUCACAUCCUGGGGCUGAAGUAGGUCCCAAGGGUAUGGCUGUUCGCCAUUUAAAGUGGUACGCGAGCUGGGUUUAGAACGUCGUGAGACAGUUCGGUCCCUAUCUGCCGUGGGCGCUGGAGAACUGAGGGGGGCUGCUCCUAGUACGAGAGGACCGGAGUGGACGCAUCACUGGUGUUCGGGUUGUCAUGCCAAUGGCACUGCCCGGUAGCUAAAUGCGGAAGAGAUAAGUGCUGAAAGCAUCUAAGCACGAAACUUGCCCCGAGAUGAGUUCUCCCUGAGACUUAGAGUCUCCUGAAGGAACGUUGAAGACGACGACGUUGAUAGGCCGGGUGUGUAAGCGCAGCGAUGCGUUGAGCUAACCGGUACUAAUGAACCGUGAGGCUUAACCUUACAACGCCGAAG
This 2776-nucleotide ribosomal RNA is filed under the name Salmonella enterica subsp. enterica serovar Heidelberg. RNAcentral describes it as "23S ribosomal RNA". It matches the Rfam family "Bacterial large subunit ribosomal RNA". Lineage: Bacteria; Pseudomonadati; Pseudomonadota; Gammaproteobacteria; Enterobacterales; Enterobacteriaceae. RNAcentral also lists the same sequence under 1 other name. The record is from RNAcentral.